Molecule: ribosomal RNA, 94 nt
Filed under: Caerostris darwini
Lineage: Eukaryota; Metazoa; Arthropoda; Arachnida; Araneae; Araneidae
Source: RNAcentral
AUAUACCGGUUCUCGUUAGAUCACCGAAGUUAAGCAACAUUGGGCGCGGUCAGUACUUGGGUGGGUGACCACCUGGGAACACUGCGUGCCGUUG